This 246-nucleotide unclassified non-coding RNA is filed under the name Melitaea cinxia (Glanville fritillary). RNAcentral's name for it is "misc RNA ENSMCXG00005021444.1". The record is from RNAcentral. Lineage: Eukaryota; Metazoa; Arthropoda; Insecta; Lepidoptera; Nymphalidae.
GAGUUAUUCUCGAUAACCGACUUAAUGGACUUUCUCAUACAGAGCACAUUCUUAAAAAAUGUGAAAAAGGUAUCAAUGCCCUUCGGGCAGUUUCAGGCGUUUGGUGGGGAGCUCACCCAUAUUCUCAAAAACUCCUCUACAAUGCCAUAGUUCGUAGCCAUAUGGACUAUGGUUUAUUCGUUUUAGACCCUAUUAUUAAAUCAGCUUCAGAAAAACUAAAUAAAAUACAAUACAAAUGCCUUAGAA